This 909-nucleotide ribosomal RNA is filed under the name uncultured bacterium. RNAcentral's name for it is "bacterial SSU rRNA". It matches the Rfam family "Bacterial small subunit ribosomal RNA", at positions 8 to 921 of the family's 1533-position model. The record is from RNAcentral.
AGAGUUUGAUCCUGGCUCAGGAUGAACGCUGGCGGCGUGCCUAAUGCAUGCAAGUCGAGCGACGCAUACCGGAGGGGUAACCCACUGGUAUGACGGAGCGGCGAACGGGUGAGUAACACGUGAGCAACCUGCCCCACAGACCGGGAUAGCCCAGGGAAACCUGGAUUAAUACCGGAUAUCCUCGGAUGAUCUCAUGAUCGAUCGAGGAAAUGCCUUUGUGCUGUGGGAUGGGCUCGCGGCUUAUCAGCUAGUUGGUGGGGUAACGGCCUACCAAGGCGUCGACGAGUAGCUGGUCUGAGAGGACGAUCAGCCACACUGGAACUGAGACACGGUCCAGACUCCUACGGGAGGCAGCAGCAGGGAAUCUUGCGCAAUGGGCGAAAGCCUGACGCAGCAACGCCGCGUGGGGGAUGAAGGCCUUCGGGUUGUAAACCCCUUUCAGGAGGGAAGAAAUUGACGGUACCUCCAAAAGAAGGACCGGCCAACUACGUGCCGGCAGCCGCGGUAAUACGUAGGGUCCGAGCGUUAUCCGGAAUCAUUGGGCGUAAAGAGCUCGUAGGCGGUUCAGCAAGUCGGCUGUGAAAGUCCGGGGCUCAACCCCGGAAUUGCAGUCGAUACUGCUGUGACUCGAGUCCGGUAGAGGAGAAUGGAAUUCCCGGUGUAGCGGUGAAAUGCGCAGAUAUCGGGAGGAACACCAGUAGCGAAGGCGGUUCUCUGGGCCGGCACUGACGCUGAGGAGCGAAAGCGUGGGGAGCAAACAGGAUUAGAUACCCUGGUAGUCCACGCUGUAAACGUUGGAUACUAGGUGUGGCGGUUAUACCAAUGACUGCCGUGCCGAAGCUAACGCAUUAAGUAUCCCGCCUGGGGAGUACGGCCGCAAGGCUUUUCUCAAAGGAAUUGACGGAAGGG